This 254-nucleotide ribosomal RNA is filed under the name uncultured bacterium. RNAcentral's name for it is "partial 16S ribosomal RNA". It matches the Rfam family "Bacterial small subunit ribosomal RNA", at positions 524 to 776 of the family's 1533-position model. The record is from RNAcentral.
UACGUAGGGUCCGAGCGUUGUCCGGAUUUAUUGGGCGUAAAGAGCUCGUAGGCGGUUCGAUAAGUCGGACGUGAAAUCUCCACGCUCAACGUGGAGGGGCCGUUCGAUACUGUCGUGACUCGAGUCCGGUAGGGGAGUGUGGAAUUCCCGGUGUAGCGGUGAAAUGCGCAGAGAUCGGGAGGAACACCCGUAGCGAAGGCGGCACUCUGGGCCGGUACUGACGCUGAGGAGCGAAAGCGUGGGGAGCAAACAGG